CUAAGGCUGAUGGCGACCGGCGCACGGGUGAGUAACACGUAUCCAACCUGCCGUCUACUCUUGGCCAGCCUUCUGAAAGGAAGAUUAAUCCAGGAUGGCAUCAUGAGUUCACAUGUCCGCAUGAUUAAAGGUAUUUUCCGGUAGACGAUGGGGAUGCGUUCCAUUAGAUAGUAGGCGGGGUAACGGCCCACCUAGUCAACGAUGGAUAGGGGUUCUGAGAGGAAGGUCCCCCACAUUGGAACUGAGACACGGUCCAAACUCCUACGGGAGGCAGCAGUGAGGAAUAUUGGUCAAUGGGCGAUGGCCUGAACCAGCCAAGUAGCGUGAAGGAUGACUGCCCUAUGGGUUGUAAACUUCUUUUAUAAAGGAAUAAAGUCGGGUAUGCAUACCCGUUUGCAUGUACUUUAUGAAUAAGGAUCGGCUAACUCCGUGCCAGCAGCCGCGGUAAUACGGAGGAUCCGAGCGUUAUCCGGAUUUAUUGGGUUUAAAGGGAGCGUAGAUGGAUGUUUAAGUCAGUUGUGAAAGUUUGCGGCUCAACCGUAAAAUUGCAGUUGAUACUGGAUGUCUUGAGUGCAGUUGAGGCAGGCGGAAUUCGUGGUGUAGCGGUGAAAUGCUUAGAUAUCACGAAGAACUCCGAUUGC
This 641-nucleotide ribosomal RNA is filed under the name uncultured Bacteroidales bacterium. RNAcentral's name for it is "bacterial SSU rRNA". It matches the Rfam family "Bacterial small subunit ribosomal RNA", at positions 79 to 716 of the family's 1533-position model. The record is from RNAcentral. Lineage: Bacteria; Pseudomonadati; Bacteroidota; Bacteroidia; Bacteroidales.